Planococcus citri (citrus mealybug) is the source of this 3179-nucleotide RNA transcript. It is a transcript of the gene named dynein regulatory complex subunit 2-like, with no coding region annotated. NCBI's taxonomy places the organism in Eukaryota, Metazoa, Arthropoda, Insecta, Hemiptera, Pseudococcidae. The transcript has 6 exons. The record is from RefSeq and is a predicted model, not a curated record.
CAUAAUUUCAACAGAUUUUACAGGGAAAUUUUGAGGAAAGUUGAAUUCUGAUUUUUUUCAGAUUUUUCGCAAUAUUUCAUGAAGGUAAAUUCAUUUCAAACUUCGAUCAAUUUUCAAUUUUUCGUUAAUCCAGCAUUUUUUUUUUUGGAAAUAUUCCUCAAAUUUUUCGAUGAAAUAAAUAUCCAAGUACUUUUUCUAAAUUUACAAUUAUUUUGAUGACAUUUUUACCAAUUUUCGAGCAAUUUUUCAACUACAUACUUUGAUCAAAUAUGCCAAUUUCCUUUUUUUUAAAAAUCAAAUGCUAAUUUUCAUUUCGAUUCGAUACAAUGAUGCUUACUCGAAAAAAUUUAAAGGGCAAGUACCGGUUUGGAAAGUUUUAUUUUCCAAAAAAACAAAACGAAUCAAAUUACAAGUUUUGAUGAGAAAAAUCGAAAGAAAACCUACACAAUCGUUUACAAAUUACACUUCUUUGAAGGUUUUUUUUUCUUUUUUAGAGGGAUGGGGGAGGGAAUAACGAACGUUUGAAAAUUUUUCUAGAAAAUCUGUAUCAUACCUGCUUAAAUGUUUGAAAAUGUCCAAAUCAACAAAUUAAUUGAAAUUUCUCAAAAUUUUCAUAAAAAUUGCCAAAAUUUGUUUCCAAAAUUGCUUGAAAUGCAGUGAAAAAGUUGAAAAUGAACCAUACCUACAGGUUGAUGUGAUUUUAAAAAAUUCGAGCUAAAUACCGCAAAAAAUGUCUGAAAAAUACAAAAAAGUUGCUGAAAAUUUAUCUCAUAAUAUUAUCAAACUGAAAUGAAAUUUCGCAAAAAUGCACUAAAACUGCGUAAAAAUUUGUUCAAAAUAUGAUCAAAAUUUGUUAAAAUUACGUUUGUAAUUUAAAAAUUAGCUUAAAAAUAGCCUCUACAAACUACGAUCAAAUUUUUCAUAAUUUGAAAAAAAAAAAAAACAUUCAACUCGUAGAAAAUUCUCCAAAAUUGAACACAUAAAAAUAACAUAAAUUAUCACAAGAAUCGUUAAGAAAAAGCAGAGAAAUUUGAAAAAAAUGAUGAAAACUUAAUCAAAACCUAUCAAAAUGAAAUUAAUUUUUCCAAAAAAAAAAAAAAAAAAAAGGUACAAAACUGGAUCAAAAAUCAUUAUUGAUGAAAUUACCAUAAAAUUGGUGAAAUUUGACAAAAAUUGUUUGGAACAUGACACGAUCCUAACUUGUUAAAAUGACAUAAAAUGAAUUAAAAAUAAGUUUGACUGAAGUUGAAAAAAAUCUCACAAAAAUCAUCCAUAUUACCUAUUGAAAGAAGGCCAAAAAUUGCAAACACUCCUUCGUAAGUUUAUUUUAUUUUGGAAUUUCAUUAUUCUACGCAGAAGUCCUCCGAGCAUUUCAUUUCAUAGGUAGGUAGGUAUCAUUUUUUUUUUUUUUUUUUCGAUUCAUAGCUACAACAACUUUCUCGAAAAUACUCCACACCAGGAUUAAGACGAGGGACGAUGAUUCUUCUUUCAAGAAGUUCUCUACAAGCGUCAAAUUAGAUGUACUUAUCUAGAUACUAUAGGUAGGAAUAUUAUUGUCUCCUUGGCAACAAAAACAAUCAAAUUCAGAUCUGCAGCUUAGCUCAGCACUAAAAUUAAAGUUCCUUCUACAUAUUACAAUAUUAUAAUCAAUCACUUGACCGAUAAAUUGAGUAAAAAUGGCACCAAAAAAGAAAAAUCGUGGCAAUAAAUUAGCAAGAAUGACCGAAGAGGAAAAAUUACGAUAUUUACAGCAUAAAGCUGCCAUGGAAGAGGAAGCUCAAAGAAGGAAACAAGAAUUGGUAGCAACGUUUCUCAAGACAAAAAUGAUCCACGAAGAAGCAUUCGCUCGUUUAAAUUCAGCUAAAAUUAAUCAACAAUGGAGACACAUCUUGAGACAGAUCAAAUGCAAAGAACUCAAAGAGGACAUGGAAACAAUGAAACAACGUUUUGAGAUCAGCCUAGAAUGCAAAAACAAAGUCAUCGAAAACCUUUUGAACGAUUUCCAAGAUGCAGAAUUCCAAUAUUCGUUACAAUAUCAAACACAGAUGGAAAUAAUUCUCAAAUUAUUAGAUCUUCACCGAAGCAGAUUAUCCGAUCUGAAGUCCUGGUACACGAAUCAAGUAAAAGAAAUCGUCCACACUGAUCUAACUCAACGAACCAAGCUCAAACAAGAAUUCCAAACACAGAUGGGUAAACUGCAAACUAUGUACGAUGAUUCUAGACAAAAAUCUGAUACACGAACUCUAGAUUUGAAGACAAAGUUUAGAUCAAAUAAGAACGAGCUUCAGACCAAACUACUUUACACGAUGGUCAAAAUGGAAGAAAAGUACACCGAUGAAAUCCGUAAAACGAAAACACAACUAAAUGAGAUCCUACAAUCUCACAGCGAUUCGACCGAUACGAAAAAAGCACAUUAUAAUAUUUUAGCCAACAAAGACGACGCUGAUACCGCCAAAAUCGUCAUCAAUUUCGAACAAAUAUCAACACUCACCGAUACGAUCAAAGACUCGAUUUCCAAGCAUAAAACACUUCUUGAGACCAACGAAAAUCACGCCAAACACUUGAAAUCAAAAAAGCAAUCGAUUAGAAAACAGCAUCGGAAAUUACGCGAACAAAACGAACAGAUUUUAGCUCGAGAUACCGAAAAGCUCAAGAUGUUGACCGAAAUUAGCAACAGAUGUAUUAAAGUACGUUAAUGGAACACUGUCAUCGAUCAUUUAAUCUUCUUCGAACAUUAAAAUAAUAAAAUAUUGUAGAAUUUAAAAGAUAAAUUCAAAAAACAAGUCGCAUUACUUCAAAUGAAGGAUGUCAGUCGAACAUUUCAAGCGAACAAUGAACUAAGGAUCGAAUCAAGUCCGCCAUUUUGUUUGGAAAUGCAAGAAAUGGAAAUGGAAGAUGAUUCAAAUGAUCCAUUAUCGUAUUCAAAGUAUCGUUCGUUCUGGAAACGUUUCAAUAAUGUGAAGAUGGAUCACGAAUUAUUAAAAAAACAUAAACAAGAAUUAAUUACAGAGAAUAAAAGUCUGAAAAAAUCACUAGAAACUUACAUGAUCUCAGUUCGCAGAUCGUCUUCAGUUCCACGAAAAUGCGGUAUAUAAAUUAUCAUUACGAUUACAAACGCGACGGUUUUCGAACUCAACUAGACUAAUAAUUAUUAAUAGCCUACCACAUAUUAAAUUACU